GGGCAGUAGGGGAGGGAGGGACUCGGGUUAUUCAUGCAUCUGUUCCCAGGCACUCUGCUUAGCCCCAUGUUCCUCCUGUUGAAGUGAUCACUCGGAAUACAGAAAGCGGAAAAAAAGGUUUCAGAUAUCCCUUCACCCGAGAUUUCACGGAGCGCCCGGUACAAGCCAGGACCCCGAGGAGAGUUUCUAUGCUGUGCAGUCCAGUCUGGUGCUUCCAACAGGAAUCCCUGAAGGAAUUCGGCUGGGACCAGAGAUCUGAUUUCCAGGGGUUAAAGUUGGGCACUCUGCCUUAGGGGUACCUGAGAAGCACUGCUGGGCGAUGAGGAACUGCUGAAGGGUUACAGGCAGCAGUGCUGGGCACACAGUGGGAGUCAGCUGAGUGCUUCUCAAAUGGAUGGUCUUAGGUUUCAUCAUCUGUAUGAUUUUAAAUGAAGCAGAUCACCUGAAUACACCAUGGCGUCUGAAUGAACAAACGUUUGUAAAUGACACUCAGAAAGGAUGGGUGUGGAAGGCCUCUGCAGGUCUCCAGGUCUCAU
Bubalus bubalis (water buffalo) is the source of this 536-nucleotide long non-coding RNA. RefSeq lists it as uncharacterized. The record is from RefSeq and is a predicted model, not a curated record. Lineage: Eukaryota; Metazoa; Chordata; Mammalia; Artiodactyla; Bovidae. The transcript has 4 exons.